This 255-nucleotide ribosomal RNA is filed under the name uncultured bacterium. RNAcentral describes it as "partial 16S ribosomal RNA". It matches the Rfam family "Bacterial small subunit ribosomal RNA", at positions 524 to 776 of the family's 1533-position model. The record is from RNAcentral.
UACGUAGGGUGCAAGCGUUUAAUCGGAAUUACUGGGCGUAAAGCGUGCGCAGGCGGUUUUGUAAGUCUGUCGUGAAAUCCCCGGGCUUAACCUGGGAAUGGCGAUGGAGACUGCAAUGCUAGAGUUUGGCAGAGGGGGGGUAGAAUUCCACGUGUAGCAGUGAAAUGCGUAGAGAUGUGGAGGAACACCGAUGGCGAAGGCAGCCCCCUGGGUCAAGACUGACGCUCAUGCACGAAAGCGUGGGGAGCAAACAGG